CAGCCGCCGCGGUAAUACGUAUGUCACGAGCGUUGUCCGGAUUUAUUGGGCGCAAAGCGAGCGCAGGCGGUUAGGUAAGUCUGAAGUUAAAGGCUGUGGCUUAACCAUAGUACGCUUUGGAAACUGUUUAACUUGUGUGCAAGAGGGGAGAGUGGAAUUCCAUGUGUAGCGGUGGAAUGCGUAGAUAUAUGGAGGAACACCGGUGGCGAAAGCGGCUCUCUGGCUUGUAACUGACGCUGAGGCUCGAAAGCGUGGGGCGCAAACAGGAUUAGAUACCCGUGUAGUCCCUGUCUCUUAUACA
This 301-nucleotide ribosomal RNA is filed under the name uncultured bacterium. RNAcentral's name for it is "partial 16S ribosomal RNA". It matches the Rfam family "Bacterial small subunit ribosomal RNA", at positions 509 to 808 of the family's 1533-position model. The record is from RNAcentral.